GACAGAGGUGGCGAGCGUUAUCCGGAUUUACUGGGCGUAAAGGGCGUGCAGGCGGUCAUGUAAGUCGGUCGUGAAAUGCGUCGGCUCAACCGAAGCAGGGCGGCCGAGACUGCAUGGCUAGAGGACGGGAGAGGAAAGUGGAAUUCCCGGUGUAGCAGUGAAAUGCGUAGAUAUCGGGAAGAACACCAAUGGCGAAGGCGACUUUCUGGCCCGUUUCUGACGCUGAGGCGCGAAAGCCAGGGGAGCGAACGGG
RNAcentral lists this ribosomal RNA (253 nucleotides) under uncultured bacterium. RNAcentral describes it as "partial 16S ribosomal RNA". It matches the Rfam family "Bacterial small subunit ribosomal RNA", at positions 524 to 776 of the family's 1533-position model. The record is from RNAcentral.